RNAcentral lists this ribosomal RNA (253 nucleotides) under uncultured bacterium. RNAcentral's name for it is "partial 16S ribosomal RNA". It matches the Rfam family "Bacterial small subunit ribosomal RNA", at positions 524 to 776 of the family's 1533-position model. The record is from RNAcentral.
UACGUAGGGACCGAGCGUUGUUCGGAUUUACUGGGCGUAAAGGGCGCGUAGGCGGCGUGACAAGUCAGUUGUGAAAUCUCCGAGCUUAACUCGGAACGGUCUAUUGAUACUGUUGGGCUAGAGUACAGAUGAGGCAAUCGGAAUUCUUGGUGUAGCGGUGAAAUGCGUAGAUAUCAAGAGGAACACCUGAGGUGAAGACGGGUUGCUGGGCUGAUACUGACGCUGAGGCGCGAAAGCUAGGGUAGCAAACGGG